RNAcentral lists this small RNA (1125 nucleotides) under Rattus norvegicus (Norway rat). Its description in RNAcentral is "uncharacterized LOC103693635". The record is from RNAcentral. Lineage: Eukaryota; Metazoa; Chordata; Mammalia; Rodentia; Muridae.
GCCACAGAAAAGGUGUUUGUUUAGACAGACUGUAUGUAGCCCCACCUGGCCUCAAACCCUGACUUUUCUAGAGUUCUGAACUCCAGGCAUGUGGCACCCAGGCCCUGCUCAGAGAAAGGUGUUUUGCUAACCUGCAGAAUCAUCCCAGAGGCCUGUAGGGAAAACAAGUUUCUAUUAAACACCCUCAUCCCAGACCAGAUCCUCAAGAUGACUCAGAGGUUAAGUCAAUUCCUUCUGCUCGUUUUAAUGUUCCUCUCUUAUGGGGUGAGCGACAGCAGCCCAGUGACAUGGAAGACAAAUGCAGUGGAAAACAGCCCAUGGGAGUGAGUGCUGGGCCCGGACACAAUGGGAGACUCUGGGAGAUCUGAGUCCUUACACAUGCUCUCAGUUUCCAAGGAUACCUUUUUAGGAUACUAACCUUAGCACAAAUGGCUGCAUGGUCAGAGGAACCAAGACACUCAUCCAACAGGGCCGCGUCACCAGGCAACCCACCAGCUAACCGUGGCUUCCGGAAUGAGCCAGGAACCUGUCUCGGCUUGAGACAGUGCCCAGAUCACACGUCCAUGCUCUUGGCAAGCAGCUGUUGGAGUCAACAACCUCAGUCACAGCACUGACAUUCUAGACUCCAGCUUCGCUAUGGUAACGUCUGUGAGGUCUCCAGUCUAUCUGUCAUCCUCCCAACCCAAUCCAUCCCUGCACGGAAGAACAGAGACCUGAUUCAGUCCAAGACUGUCACACGUAUGCCAAAGUCAUUGAAGAAUGGCUGGCCAUAUCCACUCAGCUAGUGGAUUCCUGACUGCAGCCUAUAAAAGGGGCAAAGCACCCGUUCGCUACUGGACCUCUUCUCUCUUCCCCUACCUGCAGAACUACUGGAUAUCUUCCUUCUUCUUUGAAGCAAAGAGCUGAAUGCCAGCAUCGUGUCUGUGUGAACCUCUGCUAUGAUGACAACUGCUCUUCUGUGCCUUCCUUGCCAGGAGAGACUGAGUGCUUUAAAACCAUGUUCAAAACGAAGUCCUUGUUUCUGUUGGUGGGGGGCGGGGGUCACAGUGAUACAAUGUAACCAGUACAGUCAGGAUAGCAGACAUACUUUCGGGAGAAAUAAUCAGAGCCAAGACAUUUACCUCA